GAGGGAUAUUGGUCAAUGGGCGAGAGCCUGAACCAGCCCACUCGCGUGAAGGGAGAAUGCCUUAUGGGUUGUAAACUUCUUUUUUACAGGAAUAAAAAAGCUUUCGUGUAGGCCAUUUUAAGUACUGUAUGAAUAAAAAGCCGCUAAAUCCGUGCCAGCAGCCGCGGUAAUACGGAGGAUGCGAGCGUUAUCCGGAUUUAUUGGGUUUAAAGGGUGCGCAGGCGGGCUUUUAAGUCAGCGGUGAAAUCUGGACGCUUAACGUCCAAACUGCCGUUGAAACUGGGAGUCUUGAGUAUGGAUGAAGUAGGCGGAAUUCGUUGUGUAGCGGUGACAUGCAUAGAUAUAACGAGGAACUCCGAUUGCGUAGGCAGCUUACUAAGCCAUAACUGACGCUCAUGCACGAAAGCGUGGGGAUCAAACA
RNAcentral lists this ribosomal RNA (421 nucleotides) under uncultured Dysgonomonas sp. RNAcentral describes it as "bacterial SSU rRNA". It matches the Rfam family "Bacterial small subunit ribosomal RNA", at positions 356 to 774 of the family's 1533-position model. The record is from RNAcentral. Lineage: Bacteria; Pseudomonadati; Bacteroidota; Bacteroidia; Bacteroidales; Dysgonomonadaceae.